AACGAACGCUGGCGGCAGGCUUAACACAUGCAAGUCGAACGGCAGCACGGGGGCAACCCUGGUGGCGAGUGGCGAACGGGUGAGUAAUAUAUCGGAACGUGCCCUGGAGUGGGGGAUAACUAGUCGAAAGACUAGCUAAUACCGCAUACGAUCUACGGAUGAAAGUGGGGGAUCGCAAGACCUCAUGCUCGUGGAGCGGCCGAUAUCUGAUUAGCUAGUUGGUGGGGUAAAAGCCUACCAAGGCAUCGAUCAGUAGCUGGUCUGAGAGGACGACCAGCCACACUGGGACUGAGACACGGCCCAGACUCCUACGGGAGGCAGCAGUGGGGAAUUUUGGACAAUGGGCGCAAGCCUGAUCCAGCAAUGCCGCGUGAGUGA
This 378-nucleotide ribosomal RNA is filed under the name uncultured Oxalobacteraceae bacterium. Its description in RNAcentral is "bacterial SSU rRNA". It matches the Rfam family "Bacterial small subunit ribosomal RNA", at positions 29 to 408 of the family's 1533-position model. Lineage: Bacteria; Pseudomonadati; Pseudomonadota; Betaproteobacteria; Burkholderiales; Oxalobacteraceae. The record is from RNAcentral.